RNAcentral lists this ribosomal RNA (253 nucleotides) under uncultured bacterium. Its description in RNAcentral is "partial 16S ribosomal RNA". It matches the Rfam family "Bacterial small subunit ribosomal RNA", at positions 524 to 776 of the family's 1533-position model. The record is from RNAcentral.
UACAGAGGGUGCGAGCGUUAAUCGGAGUUACUGGGCGUAAAGGGCGCGUAGGCGGUCUUAUAAGAUUGAUGUGAAAUCCCUGGGCUUAACCUAGGAACGGCAUCGAUGACUGUGAGACUGGAGUAUUGUAGAGGGUAGUGGAAUUUCCGGUGUAGCGGUGAAAUGCGUAGAGAUCGGAAGGAACACCAGUGGCGAAGGCGGCUACCUGGACAAAUACUGACGCUGAGGCGCGAGAGCGUGGGGAGCAAACAGG